RNAcentral lists this long non-coding RNA (567 nucleotides) under Homo sapiens (human). RNAcentral's name for it is "non-protein coding lnc-EVX1-14:7". The record is from RNAcentral. Lineage: Eukaryota; Metazoa; Chordata; Mammalia; Primates; Hominidae.
AACAGAACAGAACAGAACAGAACCUAAAAUAACCUGCCACAAAUACAGUCCUUGAGCUUUUUGUGCAUACACGUGAGCAUUGUCUAAAACAUAUUUUCUUUGUAGCAGCUGGGCACUGCCACCACUGUUUCAUCUUGAUCCCCUCCUCCCAAAAAUUGAGGGGAAAUAAAGGCUUGCCUCAUGGAAAUGGACAAAUAAUUUACCCAAUUCCAUUUUCACUUUGAACCACAGUUGAUAUCAAUAUAGUUAAAAGUGAGAUGAAGGUAUGAGAACAGCAGUUUCAGGUUUUAUGUUGAAAUAGCUACACUGAACUCUUGAUCAAGACUUUUCUUUCAAUGAUGAUUUCUUCAAAUUCUUUAUAGUCACCAGAGGAGAACUUUAUUCUUAAAAUAGGUGAUACUAUAAAGCUAAGAAAAACUUCAUUAUUACUCCUAAAAUAUCUGGGGACAUUUCUGGGCAUGAGACUGGGGAGCUGAGACAGGGAUUGCCCCAUCAAGCAGUACACCAGCUGUUCCCUUGUUCUGAAACUUCUUCCUUCUUCAUUCCAAACUGCACUUGGUUUGGGCA